UACAGAGGGUGCGAGCGUUGUCCGGAAUUACUGGGCGUAAAGGGCGCGUAGGCGGCCCGAUAAGUAGGACGUGAAAUUCCGCGGCUCAACCGCGGAACUGCGUUCUAGACUGUCGGGCUUGAGCACGGUAGAGGCAGAUGGAAUUCCUGGUGUAGCGGUGAAAUGCGCAGAUAUCAGGAGGAACACCGGUGGCGAAGGCGGGUCUCUGGGCCGAUACUGACGCUGAGGAGCGAAAGCGUGGGGAGCAAACAGG
This 253-nucleotide ribosomal RNA is filed under the name uncultured bacterium. RNAcentral describes it as "partial 16S ribosomal RNA". It matches the Rfam family "Bacterial small subunit ribosomal RNA", at positions 524 to 776 of the family's 1533-position model. The record is from RNAcentral.